Molecule: ribosomal RNA, 429 nt
Filed under: Chloroflexota bacterium
Lineage: Bacteria; Bacillati; Chloroflexota
Description: Chloroflexi bacterium partial 16S ribosomal RNA
Rfam family: Bacterial small subunit ribosomal RNA
Source: RNAcentral
UGGGGAAUAUUGCACAAUGGGCGCAAGCCUGAUGCAGCCAUGCCGCGUGUGUGAAGAAGGCCUUCGGGUUGUAAAGCACUUUCAGCGGGGAGGAAGGCGAUAAGUUUAAUAACCUUGUCGAUUGACGUUACCCGCAGAAGAAGCACCGGCUAACUCCGUGCCAGCAGCCGCGGUAAUACGGAGGGUGCAAGCGUUAAUCGGAAUUACUGGGCGUAAAGCGCACGCAGGCGGUUUGUUAAGUCAGAUGUGAAAUCCCCGGGCUCAACCUGGGAACUGCAUCUGAUACUGGCAAGCUUGAGUCUCGUAGAGGGGGGUAGAAUUCCAGGUGUGGCGGUGAAAUGCGUAGAGAUCUGGAGGAAUACCGGGGGCGAAGGCGGCCCCCUGGACGAAGACUGACGCUAAGGUGCGAAAGCGUGGGGAGCAAACAGG